GGAGAGGUUCCCGAGCGGCCAAAGGGGGCAGACUGUAAAUCUGUUGGCUCAGCCUUCGCUGGUUCAAAUCCAGCCCUCUCCACCA
RNAcentral lists this transfer RNA (85 nucleotides) under Syntrophomonadaceae bacterium. RNAcentral describes it as "tRNA-Tyr". It matches the Rfam family "tRNA". From Rfam's summary of the family: Transfer RNA (tRNA) molecules are approximately 80 nucleotides in length. Their secondary structure includes four short double-helical elements and three loops (D, anti-codon, and T loops). Further hydrogen bonds mediate the characteristic L-shaped molecular structure. tRNAs have two regions of fundamental functional importance: the anti-codon, which is responsible for specific mRNA codon recognition, and the 3' end, to which the tRNAs corresponding amino acid is attached (by aminoacyl-tRNA synthetases). tRNAs cope with the degeneracy of the genetic code in two manners: having more than one tRNA (with a specific anti-codon) for a particular amino acid; and 'wobble' base-pairing, i.e. permitting non-standard base-pairing at the 3rd anti-codon position. The record is from RNAcentral. Lineage: Bacteria; Bacillati; Bacillota; Clostridia; Eubacteriales; Syntrophomonadaceae.